GAGGGUUGAUCGGCCACAUUGGGACUGAGACACGGCCCAAACUCCUACGGGAGGCAGCAG
Molecule: ribosomal RNA, 60 nt
Filed under: uncultured bacterium
Lineage: Bacteria
Description: partial 16S ribosomal RNA
Source: RNAcentral